Pteropus alecto (black flying fox) is the source of this 3813-nucleotide RNA transcript. It is a transcript of the gene named ALS2 C-terminal like, with no coding region annotated. The transcript is spliced from 28 exons. The record is from RefSeq and is a predicted model, not a curated record. NCBI's taxonomy places the organism in Eukaryota, Metazoa, Chordata, Mammalia, Chiroptera, Pteropodidae.
GGCGAGCGCACCCCCGCAGGGCUCUCCUGGCGUCCGGCGCCCCACCGCACAGGUCAGCUAACUUGAGAGCCUCGGAGUAUCAUCGCCAGGGAGAGGCAGAGUCUGGGCAGAUGACCUUCUUUGUCAGAGACCCAGCGGAGAGGGGGCUGGCGCACCACGAGAUGUCACUCUGAGCCCUUGGGAGCCAUGGCGGCUCUAUGAGCCCAGGAGUCGACAGUGGACCAGAACUGGGCCUGAGGACUCUCUGCCUUUUGGGGCCCUCCGGCUGGCACACUGGCCAUGUGCAGCCCUGAGGAGUCGGCCCUGCUUCGGCUGGAGGAGGUCUUCUCGGCCACCCUCGCCCGAAUCAACAGCCUCGUCCUCCAGCCCCUGCUCGCAGCUGCCCCAGAGCCGUCGGACCCCCGGGGCAGAGAGUGUCUGCAGCUCCUGCAGCAGCUGCACAGGUGCUCCCAGCAGCUCUGGGAGGUGACGGAGGAAAGCCUGCAUUCACUGCGCGAGAGGCUGCGCCACCCGGACACUGUCGGCCUAGAGUCUCUGCUGCUGCUGCGCGGUGCCGAGGGCGUCCUGCAGGUCUACUUGGAGUACAUCAAGUCCUACACGAGCUGCGUGGCGGUGCAGGCCUUUCAGAAGACGGCAAAGAAGAGGAGCGAGUACUGGCGGGGCCAGCGGAAGGCGCUGCGGCAGCUGCUGUGGGGCGUGAGCUCCGAGGGCUCGGUGGGCACCGCGCUGGUCCAGGCCCUGCGCCAGCCGCUCACCCAUCACGUGCAGCAGUACGUGCUCCUCCUGCUGAGCCUUGGGGACAGCAUCGGGGAGCAUCACCCCACUCGGGAGCUGGUGGUGCACGCAGCCGCCCUCUUCGGGGACCUGCAGUCCUUCAUGAGGCAGGAGCUGGACCAGGCUGUGGCCACGCAGGCCCUCUGGCACGCCCUGAGCAGCCGGCAAAGGGACGCACUCUGCACCCCCACUCGCCGACUCUUGCAAGACAGCCAGGACAUACCCGUGACGGUCACCCCGCUGCGGGCAGAGCGUGUGCUGCUCUUCGAUGAUGUCCUUGUCCUUUUGCAGGGCCACAGUGUUCACACCUUUGAUCUGAAGCUGGUAUGGGUGGAUCCUGAGCAGGACGGGUGCACGUUUCACCUCUUCACGCCCGAGGAAGAGUUUUCUUUUUGCUUCAAGGACCCACAGGGCCAGGCGGUCUGGAAGUGGAAGGUUACCCAGGCCGUGUGCCAGGCCCUGCGUGGGAACAAGGACUUCCCGGUGCUGGGGGCGGGCCCGGAGCCCUCCCAGCCCCCCACCUGCCGCUCCAUGGCAUAUACCUUCCUGGCCGAGGGCCGGCUCUGUCAGGCCACCUACGAGGGUGAAUGGUGCCAGGGCAGGCCCCAUGGCAAGGGGACCCUGAGGUGGCCAGACGGGCGGAAUCAUGUGGGGAAUUUCUGCCAGGGCCUGGAGCACGGCUUUGGCAUCCGCCUGGUGCCCCAGGCCUCCGAGGACAAGUUUGACUGUUACAAGUGCCACUGGCAGGAAGGCAGCAUGUGUGGCUACGGCAUCUGUGAGUACGGCAAUGACGAGGUGUACAAAGGCUACUUCCAGGCGGGCCUGCGGCAUGGGUUUGGGGUCCUCGAGAGCACCCCGCAGGCCCCUCAGCACUGCAAGUACACGGGCCACUGGGAGAGGGGCCAGCGAAGCGGCUACGGCAUCGGGGAGGACGGCGAGAGGGGUGAGCGCUACAUUGGCAUGUGGCAGGCCGACCAGCGCCAUGGCCCAGGGGUCAUGGUCACCCAGGCAGGAGUCUGCUACCAGGGGACCUUCCAGGCGGACAAGAUGGUGGGCCCAGGGAUCCUCCUCUCUGAAGAUGACUCCUUGUACGAGGGCACCUUCACCAGGGACCUGGCCCUCGUGGGGAAGGGCAAAGUCACCUUCCCCAACGGCUUCACCCUGGAGGGCAUCUUUGGCAAUGGGGUGGGGAGAGGCCUGCACACUCAGGGCGUGCUGGACACAGCUGCCCUCCCGCCUGACCCGAGCAGUACCUGCAAGAGGCAGCUGGGCCUGGGCGCCUUCCCCGUGGAGAGCCGCUGGCAGGGUGUCUACGGCCCCUUCCGGGACUUCGUGCGUGCUGGCUGUCCCGGGGACCUGCAGGAGGCCCUGCUGGGCUUCCACGUGCAGAGCUCGAAGGAGCUUCGCAAGUCCCAGGAGUACCUGUGCUGUGAGAGGACCCAGCCGGACGAUGGUGUGGGCAGAAUGGACGAAGUCCUGGAGGAGCUGCUGCAGCACCGGGAGCCCGAGGCCCUGCAGCAGUGCCUCAGGAAGGCUCUGAGCAGCUCUCUGCACCCCCUGGGAAAGCUGCUCCGGACGCUGAUGCUGACCUUCCAGGCCACUUACGCGGGCACUGGGGCCAACAAGCAUCUGCAGGGGCUGGCCCGGGAGGAGGUGAAGCAGCACGCGCAGGAGCUCUGGGCCGCCUACAGGGGUCUGCUGCAGGUUGCCUUACAGCGCAAGGGCCAGGCCCCGGAGGCAGAGGAAGACACAGAGACAAGGGACCUGCAGGUACACGGUUUGGUGCUGCCCCUCAUGCUGCCCAGCUUCUACUCGGAGCUCUUCACUCUCUACCUGCUUCUCCACGAGAGGGAGGACAGCUUCUACAGCCAGGGCAUCACCAACCUGAGCCUCUUCCCCGACACCAAGCUGCUUGAGUUCUUGGACGUGCAGAAGCACCUGUGGCCGCUCAAGGACCUCACGCUGACGACCAAUCAGAGACACUCCCUUGUGACAGACAAGUGCUUCCUGUCAGCUAUCGAGUGUCUGCAGAAGGUCAUCCACCCCGCCGCAGCACCACGGUGGACCCCCGGGAGAAGCUGGAGGUGCUGGAGAAGACGUACGGAGAGAUCGAGGCCACCGUGUCUCGGGUGCUGGGCCAGGAGCACAAGCUGCCCAUGGACGACCUGCUGCCACUGCUCAUCUACGUGGUGUCACGUGCCCGUAUCCAGCACCUGGGAGCUGAGAUCCAUCUGAUCCGUGACAUGAUGGACCCCAUCCACACAGGGGGCCUCUACGACUUCCUGCUCACGGCCCUCGAGUCCUGUUAUGAGCACAUCCAGAAGGAGGACAUGCACCGCUUGCCCAGCCGCUGGGACUCCAGGGAGCCCCGGUAGCCCGGCCUCCCCUGGACGGACCGCAGAGCCACAGAGCUGAGAGGCCGCCGUGGGUUCCCAUGGGGCCAGCGGGCCCAGCCUGGCCCUCGUGGCCCUCGGAGGCGGCUCUUGGAGAUGAAUGUUGAGUUUCCCACAGGAGGAUGUCGCUGCCGCCCAGUUUGGGAUGAGGGUGAGGGCGACAGAUGUGGCUCCAGACCUGGUGGUUUCCUCCCGCUUCCCCUGGGCCAGUCUCAGAUGACCGCCUCCUGCAGGCAGGCCGGGGGUAGGGAGCCCCCGGCUUCUCCUUGCCCGAGUCUGGCUCCUAAGUCAUUGGGCCCCUCUGGGCCUCAGAGUUGCCGUCUGUGAAAUGGUGGACGAGGUCGUCUGUAAAGGACCUUCCUUCCAUCUUGCUGAAGUCCUCCCGGAAGUCUGACUUCGGUCUGUCGGGCUGUGACUGAAAUGCUCACGUCACUGUCAUUCCGUCUCUCUGCUCCUAGUCAGAGACUCCAAGCUGCUAGUGACCACGUGCCUCCUGGGCCUUUUCCCCAUGAGUGGUCUCCCGGGGACCUGCCUUGUUCCAGCUCUGCUCCAGGGGUGAAGCGUGGGGAGAGGGUGGGUUUCUGCGGUGGCCGGGUCUCCCCUGCCACUGCGCCCUGGGCUAAAUAAAGCAAGUCAGGUCAUCGUG